Molecule: ribosomal RNA, 468 nt
Filed under: uncultured bacterium
Lineage: Bacteria
Description: partial 16S ribosomal RNA
Rfam family: Bacterial small subunit ribosomal RNA
Source: RNAcentral
GACGAACGCUGGCGGCGUGCUUAACACAUGCAAGUCGAACGGAAAGGCCCUGCUUUUGUGGGGUGCUCGGGUGGCGAACGGGUGAGUAACACGUGAGUAACCUGCCCUUGACUUUGGGAUAACUUCAGGAAACUGGGGCUAAUACCGGAUAGGAGCUCCUGCUGCAUGGUGGGGGUUGGAAAGUUUCGGCGGUUGGGGAUGGACUCGCGGCUUAUCAGCUUGUUGGUGGGGUAGUGGCUUACCAAGGCUUUGACGGGUAGCCGGCCUGAGAGGGUGACCGGCCACAUUGGGACUGAGAUACGGCCCAGACUCCUACGGGAGGCAGCAGUGGGGAAUAUUGCACAAUGGGCGGAAGCCGGAUGCAGCAACGCCGCGUGCGGGAUGACGGCCUUCGGGUUGUAAACCGCUUUCGCCUGUGACGAAGCGUGAGUGACGGUAAUGGGUAAAGAAGCACCGGCUAACUACGUG